RNAcentral lists this long non-coding RNA (409 nucleotides) under Anas platyrhynchos platyrhynchos (common mallard). Its description in RNAcentral is "lncRNA (ENSAPLG00000021870.1)". Lineage: Eukaryota; Metazoa; Chordata; Aves; Anseriformes; Anatidae. The record is from RNAcentral.
CCCAGAGCCCUUUGGUAGCUUUUGUUUGCACUGGGCAGAACAGCUUUGAAAGAAUCACUAAGCAGCCUAAGCCAGGCCGCUGACCUUUCCAGUCAGGUUCUGUUGAUGUGACUUUGCGUCUCUCUGUGUUUGAGGCUACUUUGGGGACCUCAUGCAGAUUAAUCCAAGAUUGCCUUCCUCUACAAUCAACAAAAGUAUUCCAUACACCUUGCCCUACCUGUGAAUCCCAGACCUUGGGCUUGUCCCUGCUGCAGAAGCAGAAGCCCAGAGGGCAGUGGUGACCCCCCUCCAGUGCCAGGAGGGCACCCGUGUGCAACCCUCGCUCUGACAGACAUGGCUCCACACAGUCCAUGACACGUCUCCCAGUAAGCGAUGGGAAAAAUAGUUUUGACAGUCCUGGGACUCAACC